Molecule: ribosomal RNA, 376 nt
Filed under: uncultured bacterium
Lineage: Bacteria
Description: bacterial SSU rRNA
Rfam family: Bacterial small subunit ribosomal RNA
Source: RNAcentral
ACGUAGGCUCCAAGCGUUGUCCGGAUUUAUUGGGCGUAAAGAGCUCGUAGGCGGUUGAGUAAGUCGGGUGUGAAAACUCUGGGCUUAACCCGGAGACGCCAUCCGAUACUGCUCUGACUAGAGUUCAGGAGGGGAGUGGGGAAUUCCUAGUGUAGCGGUGAAAUGCGCAGAUAUUAGGAGGAACACCGGUGGCGAAGGCGCCACUCUGGACUGAAACUGACGCUGAGGAGCGAAAGCAUGGGUAGCAAACAGGAUUAGAUACCCUGGUAGUCCACGCGGUAAACGGUGGUCACUAGGUGUGGGUCUCUAACCAAUGAGAUCCGCGCCGUCGCUAACGCAUUAAGUGACCCGCCUGGGGAGUACGGUCGCAAGACUA